Non-coding RNA from Amborella trichopoda, 1009 nucleotides. NCBI's taxonomy places the organism in Eukaryota, Viridiplantae, Streptophyta, Magnoliopsida, Amborellales, Amborellaceae. The record is from RefSeq and is a predicted model, not a curated record.
CCCUGUCUCACUCUCUCUAUCUGCCUUGUAUCUCUCGUUCUCUCUCUACAUGCUCUCUCUGCCCGCCAUCGCUCUCCUUAAGCAUGUGGCCUAUAAAGUGGUCGGGUACAAUUUUGUGCUGAACCCAAACAUUUUUUGUUGUCCGGCACAAAAAAUCGUAAAAAAAUAUUUGAUCCGGCACAAAUUUGUCGAUGUUUGAAAGUUUUUUUGGCGAUCUAGCAUACUUUUGUGCAGAAGCGCAAAAAACAAAUCGAUUGUCGAAGUUUAAACGGUCCGCCACACCGAUUAUGUAAGUUAACGCCCAAGAUCUGGGCUUUUGAGCAAAACGCAGUCAUUCGCCCUCGUCGGUCUACCAUUGUUGUAUUUGUUUCCCUCAGGUUAGCAUAUAUUAGUUAUAUUGAUCGACCCCAUGACGUCAACUAUUACAACAUGAUCUUUGAUGAAUUAUUGUCAUUUGACUGGGUGAUUCGAGGUCUCGAGAAUAUGCCCCUGUUCCUGCCACUUAUGGGGUAUUCAUGCUUUCUUUUGGCAGUUAACACUUUACUAAGGGUUAUUUUCCUCAAAGGGGGCUUCAUCAGUUUCGAUACAUCCAAAAUUACAUAUCCCCUGGAGAAGCCAUUGACCGUCGCCCCGUGUUCCCUCUUAAGCAACACUCUUUCACCCAUCUUGGUUGAGCAAGCUUAUCCUAGAAGGGGAAGAAAUCCUCUUCUGAUGAAAGGCUAAUCGAACAGGAUAAGCCCAUGAUCACUUCCAAUUAUAAUUCUUGGUGGUGGGAGUGUGCUUUUCCCCUUCCCUUAUGUCCUUGGGUACCUAGGUCUCAUGGUGAAACCUUUGCCCCUACUAAGGAUGUUGCACCUUCUCAAGAUGAUGGCACAUCUUUUUCGAAAAAGCGGGCUAAGUCUGGUGAAGAUGUAUCUGAAAUUAGCUUGGAGAAGGCAGAAGUCGAACUGGCCCGAUGGUCGGCCCAUGUGGCGGUUCUCAAAGAGAAAGAGGAUGAGCCCAAAUUGAA